AGAGUGAACGCUGGCGGCGUGGUUAAGACAUGCAAGUCGAACGGGACGGUAGCAAUACCGUCUAGUGGCGAACGGGUGCGUAACACGUGAGCAACCUACCUGGAAGCGGGGGAUAGCCCGGGGAAACUCGGAUUAAUACUGCAUGUGGUAGCUGGCCGCCUGGCCAGCUUACUAAAGCUUGUAAUGGCACUUCCAGAGGGCUCGCGGCCUAUCAGCUUGUUGGCGGGUAACGCCCACCAAGGCUAAGACGGGUA
This 254-nucleotide ribosomal RNA is filed under the name uncultured bacterium. Its description in RNAcentral is "partial small subunit ribosomal RNA". It matches the Rfam family "Bacterial small subunit ribosomal RNA", at positions 26 to 285 of the family's 1533-position model. The record is from RNAcentral.